This 240-nucleotide ribosomal RNA is filed under the name uncultured bacterium. RNAcentral's name for it is "partial 16S ribosomal RNA". It matches the Rfam family "Bacterial small subunit ribosomal RNA", at positions 15 to 252 of the family's 1533-position model. The record is from RNAcentral.
GAUCCUGGCUCAGGACGAACGCUGGCGGCGCGCCUAACACAUGCAAGUCGAACGAGAGAUGAGGAGCUUGCUCUUCAAAUCGAGUGGCGAACGGGUGAGUAACGCGUGAGGAACCUGCCUUAUACAGGGGGAUAACAACCAGAAAUGGUUGCUAAUACCGCAUAAGCGCACAGGACCGCAUGGUCCGGUGUGAAAAACUCCGGUGGUAUAAGAUGGACCCGCGUUGGAUUAGCUAGUUGG